AUUCAUCUUGUCAAUUGUUUGUUGUUCUAAAGUAACUGAACCAAUCUGUGCAGACUUUUGACGAAAAAGAGAAUUAUGUAAAGCUCUGGAUUCAACUGUGGUGACUACGUG
This is a long non-coding RNA of Limulus polyphemus (Atlantic horseshoe crab), 111 nucleotides long. RefSeq lists it as uncharacterized. Lineage: Eukaryota; Metazoa; Arthropoda; Merostomata; Xiphosura; Limulidae. The transcript has 3 exons. The record is from RefSeq and is a predicted model, not a curated record.